RNAcentral lists this long non-coding RNA (345 nucleotides) under Elaeis guineensis (African oil palm). Its description in RNAcentral is "long non-coding RNA (EGUI_LNC059348)". Lineage: Eukaryota; Viridiplantae; Streptophyta; Magnoliopsida; Arecales; Arecaceae. The record is from RNAcentral.
CAGGCGUGUGGCACCUCCACUGAAAAUUUUGGUUAGGUCUAACCAUUAACAUGGAAUACUAAGUGCAUCCAACAAAUGGAUAUCUAGGCCCGAGUGUGGCUCGGCCAACUUGAUUAUUGAUCUGAAGGAACAUCAUGAUGGUCAUAUGAUGAAUGACAAUUCUAAUAUAUAAUAGACACCAAACAUGUUGCACCUCCAAUGCCUAUUUAGAAUACUGGACUCAUUAUCACGCACCUUAAUAGGAGACAAUGAUCAAGUUAUCUCAUAACUUUAUCACUUUAUGGACCUAAUAACUUAGAGGAUUUGAUUUCAUUGAUCAGAGAAUAAGAGAAGAAGUUGACCUGC